RNAcentral lists this transfer RNA (73 nucleotides) under Lactiplantibacillus plantarum. RNAcentral describes it as "tRNA-Thr". It matches the Rfam family "tRNA". From Rfam's summary of the family: Transfer RNA (tRNA) molecules are approximately 80 nucleotides in length. Their secondary structure includes four short double-helical elements and three loops (D, anti-codon, and T loops). Lineage: Bacteria; Bacillati; Bacillota; Bacilli; Lactobacillales; Lactobacillaceae. The record is from RNAcentral.
GCCGUUUUAGCUCAGCAGGUAGAGCACUUCCAUGGUAAGGAAGAGGUCGGCAGUUCAAAUCUGCCAAACGGCU